RNAcentral lists this transfer RNA (69 nucleotides) under Anolis rubribarbus. Its description in RNAcentral is "tRNA-Tyr". The record is from RNAcentral. Lineage: Eukaryota; Metazoa; Chordata; Lepidosauria; Squamata; Anolidae.
GAUAAAGAAAGGAAUUGAACCAAUGUUGACAGGUUUACAGCCUGCCGCCUAGCAUUCGGCCACUUUACC